GGAAUCAACUCCUACAAAAUAAAACAGGAAACAAACACUGAAAGGGGAACCAGGGGAAAACUAAAUGAACAGAACAUAUCAUGACAGUUUUAACAUCAGAAAAGUUUGAGUUAGUUUUCAAAUAUGUGAAAAAAUCUGUGAAAAAUAAACAUUAAAAAAAUGAAAACUUAGUGAAAGGUAUAAACGAUAGAGCUCACUGAGGCUGUGUCUCAUUUCAGAGACCGCAUCGUGAUAAGCGCGCUUAACGGCGCUUAGCUGAGUGCACUGCCGUUUUUAGCCGUUUUGCGCCGUUCUGUGCCCUUCCUGUGUCCCAUUUCAGAUACAGCAGCCAUCGGACGGCGCAUCUGACGCGUACGUGAGGUCACCACGCGGCACGAACGGUGUCCCGUUUGGCACAAAAUACUAAGCGCGCUUCAAAUUCGGUCUCAAAACCACACUACCCCCGCCUCGUUUUCAAGCGUGCAUGUAUGCACGCUUUCGUGCCGUCGGUAUCCCAGAAUUCUUUGCGUGCCGCUGCACAGCUGUGCAUUUCAGGUGAGAGGCUGGACGCGCUUGGAGACACAGCGCGUCUUCGAAGAAAAUACAAGAAAUCCAAAAACAGCAGACAGUCAGCUCAGGCUGUAUGAGAGCAUGAUCUCUGAACUCACUAAAAUUUGUACACCAAACAUUAUAGAUUUAGAGACGAACUGAUCCGCUGUGCUACAACAAUCAAAAACAUUAGAAAUGAGAAAGCUGACAAAACUACAGCAGAGUAUCAGGACAACAUUGAGGUUUUUUUUCUUUUAAGAUUUAGAGAUUAAAGUUGUAAAUUUAGGAGAAUAAAGUCAUAAAGUAAAUAAAGUCAUAAGGCUGCUUUUGCGGAGGGGGAAAUGACUGAAGCUGGUCAUCUGCAGGGUUAUCUGUGGAUGUAUCAGCGGGUCAUUCAGAGAGAUUUUGUGGUUUCUGAAGAAACAAUCAAACUGAUGAUAAUCAACAUUUGUGAUCCAGAGGGAGUCGAGCUCCGACGAGCACCACGUCUCUGACACCGGCCGUAGCCUACACCUGCAGAGACACCAACACCUUAUUAUGGCAUAUGGAUUCAUAUCAUAAAUUAAAGCUCAAUGUCAUUCACGGAUAUUUACGGCUGCAUUGACAGAUAUAUCCUCAGCAUAUUCAUUUCUGCCUCAACAAAAGCAGCGAUUUCCUUCAAGUACACCAAUAUUUUUCCCCGUGGAAAAGACGUAUUUCUCAUAUAUUCUUUUUAAAGUCUUUAUACUUAUGACAAUGUGAUGCUGAUGUGCCAGAGGAUGAAGAAUCUCCUUGUUUGUGAAACCUAUACUGAAGCACAGUUCCUUCAAAUGCUUCAUGGCCCUAAUUUUAACAAGUCUCUUUGAAAUAACAGGUUAUGACUUCAUUCUCAUAAAUUAAUGACUUUAUUCUCGUAAAUUCACGACUUAAAUCUCGAAGUCCUUAAAGUCUUAAAUCUCAAUAUGGCCCUCAUACUCCUUCUUACAAAACAAUCAUUGGAUGAAUUGUGCUUGUAUGUAUCUACUAUUUUGUGUCUGUGUAAGGUCGCACAAUUAAAACAAUAAAUGCUGCGCUCCGCGGGUUUCCUUUAAGUCAGUCGUGACGCAAGCCUGAGGGCGGGGACAUUUGGCAACUCCACCAGGAAGUCCUCCGAAGGUCUCCAAAUGUCCCCGCCCUCAGGCUUACGUCACGACUGAUUAGAAAAAAAGCUGCGGAGCGCAGCAUGUAUUGUUUUAAUUGUGCGACCUUGCACAGACACAAAAUAGUAGAUACAUACAAGCCCAGAUCAUUCCCACAAAAUUCAUCCAAUGAUUGUUUUGUAUGAAGGAGUAUGAGGGCCCUAUUGAGAAGGAGGAUAGGAGAUUCUUCAUCCUCUGGCACAUCAGCAUCACAUUGUCAUAAGUAUAAAGACUUUAAAAAAAGAAUAUAUGAGAAAUACGUCUUUUCCACGGGGAAAAAAACUGGUGUACUUGAAGGAAAUCGCUGCUUUUGUGGAGGCAGAAAUGAAUAUGCUGAGGAUAUAUCUGUCAAUGCAGCCGUAAAGAUCCGUGAAUGACAUUGAGCUUUAAUUUAUGAUAUGAAUCCAUAUGCCGUAAUAAGGUGUUGGUGUCUCUGCAGGUGUAGGCUACGGCCGAUGUCAGAGACGUGGUGCUCGUCGGAGCUCGACUCCCUCUGGAUCACAAAUGUUGAUCAUCAUCAGUUUGAUUGUUUCUUCAGAAACCACAAAAUCUCUCUGAAUGACCCGCUGAUACAUCCACAGAUAACCCUGCAGAUGACCAGCUUCAGUCAUUUCCCCCUCCACAAAAGCAGCUUUAUGACUUUAUUUACUUUAUGACUUUAUUCUCCUAAAUUUACAACUUUAAUCUCUAAAUCUUAAUAGAAAAAAACCUCAAUGUUGUCCUGAUACUCUGCUGUAGUUUUGUCAGCUUUCUUAUUUCUAAUGUUUUUGAUUGUUGAAGCAGAGCGGAUCAGUUCGUCUCUAAAUCUAUAAUGUUUGGUUUACAGAUUUUAGUGAGUUCAGAGAUCAUGCUCUCAUACAGCCUGAGCUGACUGUCUGCUGUUUUCGGAUUGCUUGUAAUUUCUUUGAAGACGCGCUGCGUCUCCAAGCGAGUCCAGCCUCUCACCUGAAAUGCGCAGCUGUGCAGCGGCACGCAAAGGAUUCUGGGAUACCGACGGCACGAAAGCGUGGAUAAAUGCACGCUUGAAAACAUGCUAAGCGCGCUUAGCAUUUUUUAGCAUCUCGUGCCAAACGGGACACCGUUCGCACCGUCGUGACGUCAUGCACACUUCAAAUGCACCGUUCGACGGUGCAGAAGGGCACUUAGGUCGAUGCGGUCUCUGAAAUGAGACACAGCCUGAGUGUUUCAGCCUUGAAGUGUGUUGAAUUUGUGGUUUUUGUAGGACCUACAGCAGUUGUGACUUUGCAUCAGUAGGUGGUGCUGUCCCAGUGACCCAUAUUUAUAUGUACACCUGCUGAGGCCUCGGGUGUUA
Non-coding RNA from Xyrichtys novacula (pearly razorfish), 2997 nucleotides. The record is from the annotation of a GenBank genome assembly. Lineage: Eukaryota; Metazoa; Chordata; Actinopteri; Labriformes; Labridae.